RNAcentral lists this ribosomal RNA (447 nucleotides) under uncultured bacterium. RNAcentral's name for it is "partial 16S ribosomal RNA". It matches the Rfam family "Bacterial small subunit ribosomal RNA", at positions 338 to 795 of the family's 1533-position model. The record is from RNAcentral.
CCUACGGGAGGCAGCAGUGGGGAAUCUUGCGCAAUGGGCGGAAGCCUGACGCAGCGACGCCGCGUGCGGGACGAAGGCCUUCGGGUCGUUAACCGCUUUCAGCAGGGACGAGGCCCUCACGGUGACGGUUCCUGCAGAAGAAGCCCCGGCUAACUACGUGCCAGCAGCCGCGGUAAUACGUAGGGGGCGAGCGUUAUCCGGAUUCAUUGGGCGUAAGGCGCGCGUAGGCGGCCUGUUAGGUCGGGGGUAAAAUACCGGGGCUCAACCCCGGUCCGCCCCCGAUACCGGCAGGCUUGAGUGUGGUAGGGGAAGGCGGAAUUCCCAGUGUAGCGGUGGAAUGCGGAGAUAUUGGGAAGAACACCGGCGGCGAAGGCGGCAUUCUGGGCCACGACUGACGCUGAGGCGCGAAGGCUAGGGGAGCGAACAGGAUUAGAUACCCUUGUAGUC